AGACCGCUCUCGCUCUGGAUGACUCAGGCUCCUGGGGGUGUUUGCACAUCGUGCCUGGGCGUCACUUGGGAUGGUGGCAGCUGCAGUGCAAGGUUCUUCAUGAUCAAGAAAAGAUUGUUUGUUCCUGGGUGACCUAGGUCCCAAAGAGUCCCACAGGAGGCAUGGCUCUGAGUGAUUACCAGCCCUGGGCACCAUUCAGGAAGGUGGGAUGGCCAUGGAAGGCUCGCCGUCAGCCAUGAAGAUGUGACCUGCCUUUCAAUUGAUGACCAGAGGUGCUCAGGCAUCCUGGAGAGAGUGUCCUUGUUUGUGCCCCAUGCAUGUGGAUC
Molecule: long non-coding RNA, 326 nt
Organism: Artibeus jamaicensis (Jamaican fruit-eating bat)
Lineage: Eukaryota; Metazoa; Chordata; Mammalia; Chiroptera; Phyllostomidae
Exons: 3
Source: RefSeq, a predicted model, not a curated record